Molecule: long non-coding RNA, 393 nt
Organism: Haliotis rubra (blacklip abalone)
Lineage: Eukaryota; Metazoa; Mollusca; Gastropoda; Lepetellida; Haliotidae
Exons: 3
Source: RefSeq, a predicted model, not a curated record
AGGCUUCUCCCACUCGUUUGUAAAACACUGACAACACUGCCCGCCUCUUGUUACAUGAACACAUGUCAACUCACCGGAGCUGUGAUUUCAUACAUCGGAUAUCCUCGCCCGAGAGGAAACGUGCUGCCCGGCGCUCGGCGACUGGGGUGGAGGUUUACUGCUGCUGUUUCGUCUGGCCGACUCAAAUCUUCGUGAACAAGGAGCAAUAACCGUACGCGGGAGGCUAGUCCGACGUUUUGCCAUAUAUGGACCUGACUGAUACAAUAGCAACUGAUACAAUCACUAUGGCAACAGUCGAUGAAAACAUCACCUUACACACCAAUGUGACAACGCCUAUGUAUCCAGCAGAAUAUUACAGGUUAACAGAAAUAGUUGACUUUCUUAACACAUACU